GUCGUAACAAGGUUUCCGUAGGUGAACCUGCGGAAGGAUCAUUACCACAUCUCUCUAAAAACAAAAAGGGGCGUAGGGCUUCGGCCUGUAACCCCUCUUUGUGUUCCGCGUACCAUCUGCCUGGAAAUCUGGGGAAACUCAGGUCUUCAGGUGGUCAACUUUCCGGUGCUGCUUGACAGCGCCCAUUCUUUUAUUUUUUCUCCAUUUCGCAAGAAGUGUUGAAACAAAUGAUAUUGAUGUCAUAACUGAUCGUUAGGUUUUUUCUCACGAAAAGACCCCAACAUCUAAACGACAAAACACUUUCAGCAACGGAUGUCUUGGCUCCCA
RNAcentral lists this unclassified non-coding RNA (327 nucleotides) under fungal sp. RNAcentral's name for it is "partial internal transcribed spacer region". The stretch from base 1 to 44 matches the Rfam family "Eukaryotic small subunit ribosomal RNA", at positions 1788 to 1831 of the family's 1831-position model. The record is from RNAcentral. Lineage: Eukaryota; Fungi.